AUUAAUCGGGCAUUUGAGAUAAUCCGACCCGUAUCUUGGCGGGGCUUGCUCCCAGACUUUCUGGUGUUUUUUGCAACCAUGGUGUGGUUGGACUCUCUUUUUGCCUGACUUAAACACAGACCUGAGCCUCAUUUUCUCUAUCAUUAUGGGAAAUAGUUUAAUUUUAGGGUUUGUUUGGUUUAGAGCCUGUUUGGAUUGGCUUAUUUUAGGCGCUUUUAAGCCAAAAUAGCUUUUAAGCACUUGGAUACAAGUUAUGCAGGUGCUGGUGAGUAUGAGGGAAAAUUACACUCUAUGAGCUCGUGGAUUAGCUGGAAAAAAGUGGCCUUUAAGCAUAAGUGCUUAAAGAACUUUCUUUUUAAGUGCUGAAAGUUAUUUUAUAAAUAAGCAGUUACUUGAUAAAAGGGCAAAGUUGUUGAUCAAACCAAAAUGGCUUUUAAGCCAAAAAAAUAAGUUGGGUUGAGCAACUUCUUUGGUUUUGGUUUUCUAUUUUACCAAACACCCAAAUAGGUUAAAAAUGGCUCAUAAGCUGGUUUGAUCAACUUAUAAGCCAAUCCAAACGGGCUCUAUGUCUACUGGGAAAGAAUAUUUAUCCGGUUUAGCCCAGUUUUUCCUUAAAUAUCUCUUAUACACUAUUAUACACUUUUAUACAAGGUGGACACAUUAUUUACCGUAAGUGUUGUAUACCGUGUGUAUAAGCACGGUUGCGGAAAAACAAAGUUGGUUAUGUGAAUGUAACUGAAAAUAUGGCUAUGUAGGUGUGAUAUAUUAUGUUGGGUUGUAUAUUUUGAUAAACAUAGUUAAUGGGUUAUGAUUUUGUCAAUCUUUCAGUGUGAGCUUAUUAAUCGGGUAUAUGAGAUUAUCCGACCCGUACUUGGCGGGGCGUGCCCCGGUUUUUCUGGUGGUUUUUGCAGCCAUGGCAUCGCUGGACUCUCUUUUGCCCGACAGAAGGGGAAAGAAUGAGGCUACAGAGAGUUUGAGGAUUUUCAUUGAAGGGGUGUCUGCAUCACCCAAUGAUAUCUCAAUCACUGUAAGAAUUCCAACAACCCUUUUAUCAAUUUUGACAGAGGGGGUAAUAUUAACAGCUUGUUUGGAUGGUUGUUUACAUAUCAUAUCAAAUGGUUUCUAUACCCUUCCAACGCUAAGUUAAUACAAUCAACAACAACAUAACCAGUGUGGCCCAGGUGCGGUCUGCGAUGGUAGAGUGCACACAGACGUUACCCCUACCUUGUGAGCUAAAGAUGUUGUUUCCGAUAGAACCUCAGCUCAAGAACUAUGCUAAUACAAUGCAUUUUUUUUUUCUAAUGCUUCUGUCGGAUCAUUGAGUGCUGCCCUUCGAGCUGGUGGAAACGGGUGCUGGUGAUGAUGAUUUUUGUCCAUUUUUAAUUCCCUUCUGAGCUGAUUAAUCGGGUAUUUGAGAUAAUCCGACCCGUAACUUGGCGGGGCAUGCUUCCAGACUUUCUGGUGGUUUUUGCAGCCAUGGCGGCGUUGGACUCUCUUGUUGCCCGAUCUAAUUCAGAUCUGAGCCUCACUUUCUCUAUAUCAGUUGAGAAAAUAUUAUUUAUUUGGUUUUGGAGACGUGUUAUGCAGGUGCUUGUGAGUAUAUUCAUGGCUUCAAAGAGGGCAAAGGUUUUUGUCAAUUUUUAAUUCCAGUCUGAGCUGAUUAAUCGGGCAUUUGAGAUUAUCCGACCCGUAUCUUGGCGGGGCAUGCCACCAGAUUUUCUGGUGAUUUUUGCAGCCAUGGCGUCGUUGGACUCUCUUGUUGCCUGAGCUCAACACAGAUCAGAAGGGAAAAAAAUGAGGCCACAGUGAGUUUAGGGAUUUCAUUGAAAGGGUGGUUGCCUCUCUCUGCAUUAGCCAAUGAUUUCUCCAUUACUGUAAGAAACCCAACAACCCUUUCAUCAAUUUUAACGGGGGAGUAUUAUUAUUAACAAUUAGUUUGGCAUUGGAAGUGCAAAUAUAAAGACCAUCCCAUUUGAAGGGCAAUUCUUCAUUGUUGUUACAUAUUGUUGAAAGGGUUGUUUCCGCCGGAGCAUUCAAUGUUGCCGGUGGAGCUAGUGGAAACGGCAGCGGUGAGUAUAAUCGGUGGCUUGAAAGAGGCGAUGAUGAUUUUUGUCAAUUUUUAAUUCCCUUCUGAGCUGAAUCGGGCAUUUGAGAUAAUCCGACCCGUAUCUUGGCGGGGCAUGCCCCGGUUUCUAGUGGUUUUUGCAGCCAUGUCGUUGUUGGACUCUCUGUUAUGCCUGGCUUAAAUACAGAUCUGAGCCUCAAUUUACCGGACUUCAUUACUGUAAGAAACUCAACAACCCUUUUGUCAAUACUGACGGAGGGAGUAUUAUCAACAGCUUCAGGGUACUCUAUAAACAAAAGUUUAUGGAAAUGAACAAAGCAAAUGCUCAGAAGGAAAAGAAUGAGGCUACGGAGAAAUGAGGAUUUUCAUUGAAAGGGUGGUUGCCGUUCUCUGCAUCAGCCAAUGAUUUCUCCAUUACUGUAAGAAACCCAACAGCCCUUUUAUCAAUCUUAACGGACGGAGUAAUCCAACAACAUACCCAGUGAUUAGAGUGUAUGCAGACCUUACCCCUACCCAGUGAGGUAGAGAGGCUGUCUCCGUAGACCCUCGGUUCAAGAAAAGUGUUUCCAAAAACAGUUUUAAAGCUAAUAUUAACAGUUAGUUUGGAUGGUUGUUACAUAUCAUUUCUAAGGGCGUCUAACCCUUCUACUCUUUUCUUAAUGCUUCCGCCAGAGCAUUGAAUGCUGCCCGUGGGGAUGGUGGAUGCGGUGGUGGUGAGUAUAAUCCAGUGUUUUGGACGGCGCGCGGCGACAAAAGGCGACAAGGGCGCUCUAGCCGCUCGCUUUUUUGAAGUGCGGCGCCAAUAAAUACCAAAAAAUUAAAAUAUUUAAUUGCAUAUAUAAAUAAUCAAAAUCUCACUAGCAAUAACAUAUUAGCAAAUAUUUCAAUUCAAAAAUUAUAAGUAGAUAGUAGAUUCUAAAAGUUUAGAACUUGAAUGAGUCAAUGACUCAAUAAUUAUUGAACAGAAAAAACAGAGGAGAAAAUAGAAAAAGAAAAAAACAGAGGAGAAAAAAACAGAGUAGAAAAAGAAGAAGAGAAUAGAAGGAGGAAAAAAAAAAUGGCAAAAGUCGCCGGAAACAGAGGAGUCGCCGGAAAUAAAAAAGAAGAACAGAAGAAGAAAACAGAGGAGGAAGAAAGAAGAACUGAAGAAGAAGAAGGAGGAGAAAGAGAGCGUACCUGAAAAGCUUGAAGGAGAACAGAGGCAAAAAAAACCCUAGCCGUUGUUUUCAUUUAAGUCUUCAACUUUUAAUUGCUUUUUUUUCUUUUUUUUUUUUUUUUUUUUUAAAUACCCACUGUCGCCUCGCCACAAGUGGCGCCUCGCCUCGGCGCCAUUAGCGCCUUUGACUCGCCUUUUGAAGGUGAGCUCGCCACAGCCCUAAAAGGCGGGAGAGCCACGCCUCGCCACGCCUCUCGCCUUUCACAACACUGGUAUAAUCGGUGGCUUGAAAGAGGCGACGACCAUUUUUGUCAAACUUUAAUUCCCUUCUGAGCUGAUUAGUCGGGCAUUUGAGAUUAUCUGACCCGUAUCUUGGCAAGGCAUGCUCCCAGAUUUUCUGGUGGUUUUUGCAGCCAUGGCGUGGUUAGACUCUCUUUUUGCCCUAGCUUAAAACAGAUCUGAGCCUCACUUUCUCUGUCGGUUUACCCCCUGGUUGGAUGGUUUUUUCCCGUGGUUCAUUAUUGUAUUGUUUUCAUUGAUUGAACAAAGCAAAAGCUCAUAAGGGAAAGAAUGAGGCUACAGGGAUUUGAGGAUUUUUGUUGAAAGGGUGGUUGCCUCUCUCUGCAUCAGCCAAUGAUUGCUCCAUUACUGUAAGACUCCCAACAGCCCUUUUAUCAAUUUAAUCAGAGGGAGUAUUAUAAGCAGCUUAUUUGGCAUUCGAAAUGCAAAAAUUAAAGUUCAGCUCA
Lycium ferocissimum is the source of this 3967-nucleotide long non-coding RNA. RefSeq lists it as uncharacterized. Lineage: Eukaryota; Viridiplantae; Streptophyta; Magnoliopsida; Solanales; Solanaceae. The transcript is spliced from 2 exons. The record is from RefSeq and is a predicted model, not a curated record.